GAACGCUAGCGGCAGGCCUAACACAUGCAAGUCGUACGGUAACAGGGGAGCUUGCUCCCGCUGACGAGUGGCGCACGGGUGAGUAACGCGUAUGCAACCUGCCCCGUACCGGGGUAUAGCCCAGGGAAACUUGGAUUAACCCCCCAUGGCCCAUUUAUAUGGCAUCAUAUGGAUGGUAAAGUUUACGGUACGGGAUGGGCAUGCGUCCCAUUAGCUUGUUGGUGCGGUAACGGCGCACCAAGGCACCGGAUGGGUAGGGGUCCUGAGAGGGAGGCCCCCCACACUGGUACUGAGACACGGGCCAGACUCCUACGGGAGGCAGCAGUGAGGAAUAUUGGACAAUGGCGGAAGCCUGAUCCAGCCAUGCCGCGUGCAGGAAGACGGCCCUACGGGUUGUAAACUGCUUUUGUACGGGAAGAAUAAGGGGCACGUGUGUGCCCCGAUGACGGUACCGUAAGAAUAAGCACCGGCUAACUCCGUGCCAGCAGCCGCGGUAAUACGGAGGUGCCAGCGUUAUCCGGAAUCAUUGGGUUUAAAGGGUCCGUAGGUGGCCCCUCAGUCAGUGGUGAAAGCCCGCGGUUAACCGUGGACUGCAUUGAAACUGGGGGCCUUGAAUUGUUGUGAAGUGGCCGGAAUAUAUGUGGUGUAGCGGUGAAAUGCAUAGUAUACAUAGAACACCAUUGCGAAGAGGCCCUAACGGUGAUUGCACUUAUGGACAAACGUGGGAGCAACAGAUUAAACCCUGUAUCACCC
RNAcentral lists this ribosomal RNA (753 nucleotides) under uncultured Antarctic soil bacterium. RNAcentral's name for it is "bacterial SSU rRNA". It matches the Rfam family "Bacterial small subunit ribosomal RNA", at positions 31 to 798 of the family's 1533-position model. The record is from RNAcentral.